UUGCUUCCUCAGCAUAUAUAUACUAAACAGAAUGAUACAGAAAAGCUUAAUAUGACCACUGUACAAGGAUGGCAUGCAACUCUCUGAAGAAUUGUUUGAAUGU
Molecule: small nuclear RNA, 103 nt
Organism: Grammomys surdaster
Lineage: Eukaryota; Metazoa; Chordata; Mammalia; Rodentia; Muridae
Source: RefSeq, a predicted model, not a curated record